UACGGAGGGUGCAAGCGUUAUCCGGAAUCACUGGGUUUAAAGGGUGCGUAGGCGGUCAGAUAAGUCAGUUGUGAAAUACCCCGGCUUAACCGGAGGAACUGCGAUUGAUACUGUUUGACUUGAAUCAGGUUGAGGUAGGCGGAAUGUGGCAUGUAGCGGUGAAAUGCUUAGAUAUGCCAUAGAACACCGAUUGCGAAGGCAGCUUGCUGGACCUUGAUUGACGCUGAGGCACGAAAGCGUGGGGAGCAAACAGG
RNAcentral lists this ribosomal RNA (254 nucleotides) under uncultured bacterium. RNAcentral describes it as "partial 16S ribosomal RNA". It matches the Rfam family "Bacterial small subunit ribosomal RNA", at positions 524 to 776 of the family's 1533-position model. The record is from RNAcentral.